AAAAUCCGGGUGGCAAUGGGAAGCCGUGAUGCGGAGCGAAAUAAAGUAGCGAAGCCCGUGAGCCAUGCGUCAAGAAAAGCCGCUAUUGUUUAUACCGUACCCGUACCGUAAACCGACACAGGUGGAUGAGGAGAGAAUCCUAAGGCCGGCGGAAGAAGCAUUGUCAAGGAACUCGGCAAAAUGGCCCCGUAACUUAGGGAUAAGGGGUGCCUGGGAAACCAGGCCGCAGAGAAUAGGCUCAAGCAACUGUUUAGCAAAAACACAGGUCUAUGCGAAACCGAAAGGUGAGGUAUAUGGGCUGACGCCUGCCCGGUGCUGGAAGGUUAAGAGGAGAGGUUAGCGGUAACGCGAAGCUUUGAAUUUAAGCCCCAGUAAACGGCGGCCGUAACAAUAACGGUCCUAAGGUAGCGAAAUUCCUUGUCGGGUAAGUUCCGACCCGCACGAAAGGCGUAAUGAUUUGAGCGCUGUCUCGACAAUGCAUCCGGUGAAAUUGAAGUACCAGUGAAGAUGCUGGUUACCUGCGCCAGGACGGAAAGACCCCAUGGAGCUUUACUCCAGUCUGGUACUGGGACUCGGUAUUGCAUGUACAGGAUAGGUGGGAGGCUAGGAGAUGGUAACGCCAGUUGCCAUGGAGCCGCUGUUGGGAUACCACCCUUGCAGUAUUGGGUUUCUAACCAGCCGCCGUGACCCGGCGGUGGGACAAUGCCAGACGGGGAGUUCGACUGGGGCGGUCGCCUCCGAAAGGGUAUCGGAGGCGCCCAAAGGUUCCCUCAGAAUGGACGGAAACCAUUCGAAGAGUCCAAAGGCAGAAGGGAGCUUGACUGCGACACCGACGGGUGGAGCAGGUACGAAAGUAGGGCUUAGUGAUCCGGUGGUAUUAAGUGGGAAUGCCAUCGCUCAACGGAUAAAAGCUACCCUGGGAUAACAGGCUUAUCACUCCCAAGAGUUCACAUCGACGGAGUGGUUUGGCACCUCGAUGUCGGCUCAUCGCAUCCUGGGGCUGUAGUAGGUCCCAAGGGUUGGGCUGUUCGCCCAUUAAAGCGGUACGCGAGCUGGGUUCAGAACGUCGUGAGACAGUUCGGUCCCUAUCCGGCGUGGGCGUAGGAUAUCUGAGAGGAGCUGUCCUUAGUACGAGAGGACCGGGAUGGACGGGCCGCUGGUGCAUCGGUUAGACUGCCAAGUCUACGGCCGAGUAGCCAAGCCCGGAAGGGAUAAACGCUGAAGGCAUCUAAGCGUGAAGCCCCCCUUAAGAUGAGAUAUCCCAUUCGAAAGAAGUAAACCCCCUUGAAGACGACGAGGUAGAUAGGGCAGAGGUGGAAGUGUGGCAAUACAUGGAGCUGACUGUUACUAAUCGGGUGAGGGCUUGACCUG
RNAcentral lists this ribosomal RNA (1371 nucleotides) under metagenome. Its description in RNAcentral is "bacterial LSU rRNA". It matches the Rfam family "Bacterial large subunit ribosomal RNA", at positions 1537 to 2925 of the family's 2925-position model. The record is from RNAcentral.